CCCCAUUUCUCUGCAAAUUUUUCGUUUCUUUUUUAAAAUUCUUCUUCCCCCAUCUCUCCUCUCUCUCUUCUUCAUGUAAUUGUUCGUUUUUUUUUUUAAUUUCCGCGCGUCUCCCACACGCGAUUAUCUUUUCUCUCCUCCGCCCCGGGUCUCCACUUCGACACGCCCUCGCAUCACGCCGUGUCUCCAGCGCGGCCACCACCUUGGCGACCCGGCUCGACCCCGCCUUCGACAUCGCCGCUGGAGAUGCUCU
RNAcentral lists this long non-coding RNA (253 nucleotides) under Salvia miltiorrhiza (redroot sage). RNAcentral's name for it is "long non-coding RNA (SMIL_LNC010879)". Lineage: Eukaryota; Viridiplantae; Streptophyta; Magnoliopsida; Lamiales; Lamiaceae. The record is from RNAcentral.